RNAcentral lists this ribosomal RNA (318 nucleotides) under Triticum aestivum (bread wheat). RNAcentral's name for it is "partial small subunit ribosomal RNA". The record is from RNAcentral. Lineage: Eukaryota; Viridiplantae; Streptophyta; Magnoliopsida; Poales; Poaceae.
AUGGAGGGGAAGUGGACAAGGACUACUAGCCUUGGUCACUGCACAUUGUUCUUGACAUAUUUUUACUUUGUAGGCUGUGUUGUUCCGACGAAAGGAAUGACAUGCUUUUCAGGUUAUUACUUUGCAAGUUCCCUUGGUCCAGAUCAUCCAGGAGUUCGAAGGGACUGCUUAUACUUCACAGAUGCCAAAAGGAAGUGGAUCGAGUAUUCCUUGGCCGAUGGAUCUUGUGAUGAAUUUGUUGCUGAGAACUUAGAGGGAGCUGGAAGGCCUGAUUCCGAUUUUAGGGCACCUGUUUGGGUCUUUCCGAGCAUGUGUUGA